Arachis duranensis is the source of this 1645-nucleotide long non-coding RNA. RefSeq lists it as uncharacterized. The record is from RefSeq and is a predicted model, not a curated record. Lineage: Eukaryota; Viridiplantae; Streptophyta; Magnoliopsida; Fabales; Fabaceae. The transcript is spliced from 4 exons.
AAAUAAUAAUAAUAAUUAAUUAUCGCAUUGCUCUUCUAAUCCUGCCUCUCAUUCAUUAAUCGUUUUACAUCUAUCCUUUAUAAAAUUGUUGUAUUAAGUAUAUAUCUAGUCUUAAUAUAAUAAAGUCUCGAAUAAUGGGCUGUUUGUCAUAUAUAACCAAGAAAUUCAAAUAGGCUUUUUUAAGUUUGGAGAUUCAAAAACAAAGGAUAUAUAUAGUUGUAAGAUAAGAAGUGAAACACUUAUCAUCCUUAGAUAAUGACCUUAGUGGAAGUUAAGUAACAAAUAAUAGUAGAAAGGCAAUUACUCUGCUAUUCUUUGAAAAUAGAGACUAAAUUAUCCUAUAUAAUAAAAUUUAUUCUUAGAAUUGUUUAUCCUAUAUAAUAAAUUUUAUUCUUAAAAACUAAACAAUUCUUAAAAUUUGUUUUCGCAUUUUCCGUUAGAAUAACUGGUGAGCAUUUAGCCCUCUAGGUUGCUUCAUUUCAUUCCUCUCAUUCUGAUUUUUCGUUAUAAUUCAAUGCACUCGUAUCCAGUUUUAUAUUAAUGAUUAAAAAAAUUAAAGUUCUGCAUUUAUUUUUAUUGGCAGUAUGCUUCUAACUUGGAAGUUUCAUGCACUGAAUGUAUUUUUUCAAAAACAAGACAUUUAUUUUUAUAGGUGACUUCCUAAAUAAAUUUAUUCUUUUAUAGGUGAAACAAAAAAGAUUGUUCAAACCCUGUGUCUAAUGCUACCUUCUAGCUUGCUCUCUGUUUUUUAAAAGUUUUUGACAAAGUUUUGCUGUUUAACUUUGAUAAAAAGAAUAUAAUAAGGUUCAGAAGAAUGACAUGAGGUUUGCGGGACAAGUGAUCCUCACAAAAGCAAAAAUAAAUAAAUUAAAAGCAUAUUUUUUAAUUAAUUUUGCCUUACAAUUUCUUGUCAUAUUGCAUUUAGUUUGUUUACAAUCUCUUUUGGUUUCUUGGUUUAGGCAUUCAGUUUGUACUUGUUGAUAUCUUUGCAUUGGCAUCUUAAUUAUUUCUUUUUCUUUGCAGUGAAAUGAUUCAAUAGAAAACAUGCCCAAUGGAAUGCAGCUAAGAAGGAAGAAAAGAAAAUGGUUAAUUUGAAGGACAAGUGGAGAAACAUGAUGCGAAAGUGAUGCACAUGUGUAGAUCUAAGGGAGUAGGUUCUAACUUCUAUGGAUGCAACCAAGUUUUUUUAAAAGAGGGACCUAAGACCUAAGUACCAACUAUGCUGCCAAUACACUUCAGUUUUAUAUCUGGUUUUAAGAGCUCAUCCAAAGCUGUUUCUAUUUUGUGCUGUCCAAGUUGCAAGCACUACUUUUCUACAUUGCUUCUAAAGAAGGAGAUAAGAUUUCGGAGCAAUUGACUAUAAUAUAUUCCUAAUCAACAAGCUUCACAGGAAUUGAAUCAAGAGAGUGAGAUUUCAUCGCCAAAAGAGUUAAGAAGUAGGUCUUCCGGCGCAAGCAAUAGAGCAGCAUGAAAUAUGAUGGAGAUUUUAUGUAUUAAGAGUUACAUGUUAUGACAUUUAUAGUUGAAAAAAUAUGUUAUGUUUGAUAUUAUGUAUAAGAGUUAUUACUUUUGAUUUCCAAUACUAAAAAAUCAUAUAUUAUGUUUAAUACUUUGUUUAUGAGUUAUAUAAUAUUUUGUUUAUAGA